RNAcentral lists this transfer RNA (82 nucleotides) under Lacisediminihabitans sp. RNAcentral's name for it is "tRNA-Leu". It matches the Rfam family "tRNA". Rfam says of the family: Transfer RNA (tRNA) molecules are approximately 80 nucleotides in length. Their secondary structure includes four short double-helical elements and three loops (D, anti-codon, and T loops). Lineage: Bacteria; Bacillati; Actinomycetota; Actinomycetes; Micrococcales; Microbacteriaceae. RNAcentral also lists the same sequence under 1 other name. The record is from RNAcentral.
GCGGGAGUGGUGAAAUUGGUAUACACGCAGGAUUUAGGUUCCUGUGCCGCAAGGCGUGAGGGUUCGAGUCCCUUCUCCCGCA